Molecule: ribosomal RNA, 585 nt
Filed under: uncultured bacterium
Lineage: Bacteria
Description: bacterial SSU rRNA
Rfam family: Bacterial small subunit ribosomal RNA
Source: RNAcentral
CCUACGGGAGGCAGCAGUGGGGAAUUUUGGACAAUGGGCGCAAGCCUGAUCCAGCAAUGCCGCGUGAGUGAAGAAGGCCUUCGGGUUGUAAAGCUCUUUUGUCAGGGAAGAAACGGCUGAGGUUAAUACCUUCGGCUAAUGACGGUACCUGAAGAAUAAGCACCGGCUAACUACGUGCCAGCAGCCGCGGUAAUACGUAGGGUGCAAGCGUUAAUCGGAAUUACUGGGCGUAAAGCGUGCGCAGGCGGUUUUGUAAGUCUGACGUGAAAUCCCCGGGCUCAACCUGGGAAUUGCGUUGGAGACUGCAAGGCUGGAGUCUGGCAGAGGGGGGUAGAAUUCCACGUGUAGCAGUGAAAUGCGUAGAGAUGUGGAGGAACACCGAUGGCGAAGGCAGCCCCCUGGGUCAAGACUGACGCUCAUGCACGAAAGCGUGGGGAGCAAACAGGAUUAGAUACCCUGGUAGUCCACGCCCUAAACGAUGUCUACUAGUUGUCGGGUCUUAAUUGACUUGGUAACGCAGCUAACGCGUGAAGUAGACCGCCUGGGGAGUACGGUCGCAAGAUUAAAACUCAAAGGAAUUGACGG